UGGGGAAUAUUGCACAAUGGGCGAAAGCCUGAUGCAGCAACGCCGCGUGAGUGAUGAAGGUCUUCGGAUUGUAAAGCUCUGUCUUUUGGGACGAUAAUGACGGUACCAAAGGAGGAAGCCACGGCUAACUACGUGCCAGCAGCCGCGGUAAUACGUAGGUGGCGAGCGUUGUCCGGAUUUACUGGGCGUAAAGGGUGCGUAGGCGGAUGUUUAAGUGAGAUGUGAAAUACCCGGGCUUAACUUGGGUGCUGCAUUUCAAACUGGAUAUCUAGAGUGCAGGAGAGGAGAAUGGAAUUCCUAGUGUAGCGGUGAAAUGCGUAGAGAUUAGGAAGAACACCAGUGGCGAAGGCGAUUCUCUGGACUGUAACUGACGCUGAGGCACGAAAGCGUGGGUAGCAAACAGGAUUAGAUACCCUGGUAGUCCACGCCGUAAACGAUGAGUACUAGGUGUAGGAGGUAUCGACCCCUUCUGUGCCGCAGUAAAUACAUUAAGUA
RNAcentral lists this ribosomal RNA (495 nucleotides) under uncultured bacterium. Its description in RNAcentral is "partial 16S ribosomal RNA". It matches the Rfam family "Bacterial small subunit ribosomal RNA", at positions 355 to 866 of the family's 1533-position model. The record is from RNAcentral.